Molecule: unclassified non-coding RNA, 305 nt
Filed under: Hevea brasiliensis (rubber tree)
Lineage: Eukaryota; Viridiplantae; Streptophyta; Magnoliopsida; Malpighiales; Euphorbiaceae
Source: RNAcentral
UGAUGGUUUUUAUCGACUGUACACCUGCAACCAAAAUGUAAUAUUUCACGGUUAGAGCCAGAAAUUAGUUAUAAGCAAUGAGAUAAUGUGUUUAAAUAUUAAUUUCAUUUCUUGAUUCCAAAAAUACAAGCUAUAUGUAAACAAUUCUUCUUAAUGAGGUUAAGCAUCAAGUGAUAGUUGUAUUUCCAACUGCUAACAGUUACUGUCACACGGUCCAGGGCUGCUUUCAGUGAAGAUAAAAGCAGACUCUAUUUCAUGCUUGCAAAGACCAUAGAAAAAAUAAAUAAAAUAAAAUAAAUAAAAUA